Molecule: ribosomal RNA, 388 nt
Filed under: uncultured bacterium
Lineage: Bacteria
Description: bacterial SSU rRNA
Rfam family: Bacterial small subunit ribosomal RNA
Source: RNAcentral
GACGAACGCUGGCGGCGUGCUUAACACAUGCAAGUCGAGCGGUAAGGCCCUUUCGGGGGUACACGAGCGGCGAACGGGUGAGUAACACGUGGGUGACCUGCCCUCAGCUCUGGGAUAAGCCUGGGAAACCGGGUCUAAUACUGGAUAUGACUCCAUGACGCAUGUUGUGGGGUGGAAAGCCUUGUGCGGCUGAGGAUGGGCCCGCGGCCUAUCAGCUUGUUGGUGGGGGAUGGCCUACCAAGGCGACGACGGGUAGCCGGCCUGAGAGGGCGACCGGCCACACUGGGACUGAGACACGGCCCAGACUCCUACGGGAGGGCAGCAGUGGGGAAUCUUGCGCAAUGGGCGAAAGCCUGACGCAGCGACGCCGCGUGAGGGAUGACGGCCU